Molecule: long non-coding RNA, 242 nt
Filed under: Homo sapiens (human)
Lineage: Eukaryota; Metazoa; Chordata; Mammalia; Primates; Hominidae
Description: non-protein coding lnc-CAMP-2:1
Source: RNAcentral
GAGUUCACCUGUGAAUCCCAAAUCUUUCCCCAGUGGAACAACAGAAAGCCAGUGAUGGCGAAACUCAAGUGGGGAACGAAGUGUAAGGGGUAUCUGUAGAUGGUGAUAUAAACAUGCAGCUUGCAAAUACAGAAUACAGAGAUGGGGCGUUUUCUGUAUAUCUAGGUGAAGUUUCAAUAUGGUAUAAUAAUGUCCUUUAUAUUAGAGGUGUUAAAGAGGAAGAUGGGGAAAUGAGAGAUUAA